Molecule: transfer RNA, 75 nt
Filed under: Candidatus Uhrbacteria bacterium RIFCSPHIGHO2_02_FULL_60_10
Lineage: Bacteria; Candidatus Uhriibacteriota
Description: tRNA-Arg
Rfam family: tRNA
About the family: Transfer RNA (tRNA) molecules are approximately 80 nucleotides in length. Their secondary structure includes four short double-helical elements and three loops (D, anti-codon, and T loops).
Source: RNAcentral
GCCCCUAUAGCUCAACGGAUAGAGCGGAUCCGUCCUAAGGAUACGAUGGAGGUUCAAUUCCUUCUGGGGGCACCA